UGUGAGGGCGAUCUGGCUGCAACAUCUAUCACCCCAUUGAUCACCAGGGUUGAUUCGGCUGAUCUGGCUGGGUAGGCAGGUGUCCCCUUCCUCUCUUGGUUGAAGAAGAUGACCUUCCCUGGUAGAGGAGAGGACCAUUCUCUAGUCAAGGGUAUACGAGUAGCUGUGCUCCCCUGCUAGAACCUCCCAACAAGCUCUCAAGGUCCAUUUGUAGGAGAACUUAGGGUAGUCAAACUUCCAGGACUCCAGACACAUCCAAAUGAAGUGCUGCACAUGACAGUCUGCCUU
Molecule: small nuclear RNA, 288 nt
Filed under: Neogale vison (American mink)
Lineage: Eukaryota; Metazoa; Chordata; Mammalia; Carnivora; Mustelidae
Description: Neovison vison (American mink) 7SK RNA (ENSNVIG00000019965.1)
Rfam family: 7SK RNA
About the family: 7SK was discovered as an abundant small nuclear RNA in the mid-70s but a possible function has only recently been suggested. Two independent studies have found that 7SK RNA binds the CDK9/cyclin T complex (known as elongation factor P-TEFb). P-TEFb activates transcription by phosphorylating the C-terminal domain of RNA polymerase II.
Source: RNAcentral